GGCGGGACACGUGGUAUCCUGUCUGAAUAUGGGGGGACCAUCCUCCAAGGCUAAAUACUCCUGACUGACCGAUAGUGAACCAGUACCGUGAGGGAAAGGCGAAAAGAACCCCGGCGAGGGGAGUGAAAAAGAACCUGAAACCGUGUACGUACAAGCAGUGGGAGCACAGGUUUACCUGUGUGACUGCGUACCUUUUGUAUAAUGGGUCAGCGACUUAUAUUCUGUAGCAAGGUUAACCGAAUAGGGGAGCCGGAGGGAAACCGAGUCUUAAYYGGGCGUUAAGUUGCAGGGUAUAGACCCGAAACCCGGUGAUCUAGCCAUGGGCAGGUUGAAGGUUGGGUAACACUAACUGGAGGACCGAACCGACUAAUGUUGAAAAAUUAGCGGAUGACCUGUGGCUGGGGGUGAAAGGCCAAUCAAACCGGGAGAUAGCUGGUUCUCCCCGAAAGCUAUUUAGGUAGCGCCUCGUGAAUUCAUCUCCGGGGGUAGAGCACUGUUUCGGCUAGGGGGCCAUCCCGGCUU
Molecule: ribosomal RNA, 522 nt
Filed under: Salmonella enterica
Lineage: Bacteria; Pseudomonadati; Pseudomonadota; Gammaproteobacteria; Enterobacterales; Enterobacteriaceae
Description: partial 23S ribosomal RNA
Source: RNAcentral